UCGGAACGUGCCCUAGAGUGGGGGAUAACUAGUCGAAAGACUAGCUAAUACCGCAUACGAUCUAAGGAUGAAAGUGGGGGAUCGCAAGACCUCAUGCUCGUGGAGCGGCCGAUAUCUGAUUAGCUAGUUGGUAGGGUAAAAGCCUACCAAGGCAUCGAUCAGUAGCUGGUUUGAGAGAACGACCAGCCACACUGGAACUGAGACACGGUCCAG
Molecule: ribosomal RNA, 213 nt
Filed under: uncultured bacterium
Lineage: Bacteria
Description: partial 16S ribosomal RNA
Rfam family: Bacterial small subunit ribosomal RNA
Source: RNAcentral